This 429-nucleotide ribosomal RNA is filed under the name Pseudomonadota bacterium. Its description in RNAcentral is "Proteobacteria bacterium partial 16S ribosomal RNA". It matches the Rfam family "Bacterial small subunit ribosomal RNA", at positions 355 to 776 of the family's 1533-position model. The record is from RNAcentral. Lineage: Bacteria; Pseudomonadati; Pseudomonadota.
UGGGGUAUAUUGGACAAUGGGCGAAAGCCUGAUCCAGCCAUGCCGCGUGUGUGAAGAAGGUCUUCGGAUUGUAAAGCACUUUAAGUUGGGAGGAAGGGCAGUAAGCGAAUACCUUGCUGUUUUGACGUUACCGACAGAAUAAGCACCGGCUAACUCUGUGCCAGCAGCCGCGGUAAUACAGAGGGUGCAAGCGUUAAUCGGAAUUACUGGGCGUAAAGCGCGCGUAGGUGGUUCGUUAAGUUGAAUGUGAAAGCCCCGGGCUCAACCUGGGAACUGCAUCCAAAACGGGCGAGCUAGAGUAGGGCAGAGGGUGGUGGAAUUUCCUGUGUAGCGGUGAAAUGCGUAGAUAUAGGAAGGAACACCAGUGGCGAAGGCGACCACCUGGGCUCAUACUGACACUGAGGUGCGAAAGCGUGGGGAGCAAACAGG